Long non-coding RNA from Cebus imitator (Panamanian white-faced capuchin), 430 nucleotides. RefSeq lists it as uncharacterized. The record is from RefSeq and is a predicted model, not a curated record. The transcript is spliced from 3 exons. NCBI's taxonomy places the organism in Eukaryota, Metazoa, Chordata, Mammalia, Primates, Cebidae.
GGCUCAUUCUGGGUUCCCCCGAGCUGAGAGGUGGGCUAUAGGGGAGGCACCCCCUGAGAUGUUCCAGGGCCCCAUAGGCCACCCCUUGUCGGAGGAGAGCGGAUCGACUCCUGGCACACUUCUCCAAAUUAUUCUUCCAAGUCCCUGGUCCUGCUCCAUGGAGAAGCCACAAAGCAGAAGUGUUAGUGAGGCUGGAGACUUGGAUACGUGAAAGAGAAGACAUAGAGUGCUUCCUUUAAGUGAAAAGGUUCUGUAAAACCAAAGAAAACUACCCAUGCUAGCUGGUGUAAAGGACCAAGUAUGAAGCUGACUUAUGGAAGAGUAGAGUUUUCACAUUCUGAUUAUAUCAUCCUCCUUACCCUGACCAAUUGAUAUCCCCAAUUUUCCAGCCCCUUGCCCUCCAUGAUCCUCUUAAAGAUCGUGGUACAAA